This 460-nucleotide ribosomal RNA is filed under the name uncultured bacterium. Its description in RNAcentral is "partial 16S ribosomal RNA". It matches the Rfam family "Bacterial small subunit ribosomal RNA", at positions 338 to 795 of the family's 1533-position model. The record is from RNAcentral.
CCUACGGGAGGCAGCAGUGAGGAAUAUUGGUCAAUGGGCGGGAGCCUGAACCAGCCAAGUCGCGUGAGGGAAGAAGGUCCUAUGGGUUGUACACCUCUUUAGACGGGGAGCAAUGCCGGGCGCGCGUGCCCGGAGGGAGAGUACCCGCAGAAUAAGCAUCGGCUAACUCCGGGCCAGCAGCCGCGUUAAUACGGAGGGUGCGAGCGUUAUCCGGAUUUAUUGGGAUUAAAGGGUGCGCAGGCGGCUUUUUAAGUCAGCGGUAAAAGGUCAGGGCUUAACCCGGGCCGGCCGUUGAAACUGGGGAUCUUGAGUGGGCGAGAAGUACGCGGAAUGCGUGGUGUAGCGGUGAAAUGCAUAGAUAUCACGCAGAACUCCGAUUGCGAAGGCAGCAUUCCGGCGCCCGACUGACGCUGAGGCACGAAAGCGUGGGGAUCGAACAGGAUUAGAUACCCUUGUAGUC